Molecule: long non-coding RNA, 154 nt
Organism: Perognathus longimembris pacificus (Pacific pocket mouse)
Lineage: Eukaryota; Metazoa; Chordata; Mammalia; Rodentia; Heteromyidae
Exons: 3
Source: RefSeq, a predicted model, not a curated record
UUAUUCACUGUAUCAAGUAGUUCUUUUAUUGCACUAGCUAUGUCCCUGUUGGAAAAGGAAAAAAAACAAUCACUGAAAUCAAGUAUUCUUGAAAGUGGGUGUAAGUACAUAUUUGUAUGUGUAAUUACAUUGUUUUUUAAAAAAAAUACUAUUG